GAUGAACGCUGGCGGCGUGCCUAAUACAUGCAAGUCGAGCGAGCAGACGAGGAGCUUGCUCCUCUGACGUUAGCGGCGGACGGGUGAGUAACACGUGGAUAACCUACCUAUAAGACUGGGAUAACUUCGGGAAACCGGAGCUAAUACCGGAUAAUAUAUUGAACCGCAUGGUUCAAUAGUGAAAGACGGUUUUGCUGUCACUUAUAGAUGGAUCCGCGCCGCAUUAGCUAGUUGGUAAGGUAACGGCUUACCAAGGCAACGAUGCGUAGCCGACCUGAGAGGGUGAUCGGCCACACUGGAACUGAGACACGGUCCAGACUCCUACGGGAGGCAGCAGUAGGGAAUCUUCCGCAAUGGGCGAAAGCCUGACGGAGCAACGCCGCGUGAGUGAUGAAGGUCUUCGGAUCGUAAAACUCUGUUAUUAGGGAAGAACAAAUGUGUAAGUAACUAUGCACGUCUUGACGGUGCCUAAUCAGAAAGCCACGGCUAACUACGUG
RNAcentral lists this ribosomal RNA (497 nucleotides) under uncultured bacterium. Its description in RNAcentral is "partial 16S ribosomal RNA". It matches the Rfam family "Bacterial small subunit ribosomal RNA", at positions 28 to 507 of the family's 1533-position model. The record is from RNAcentral.